RNAcentral lists this long non-coding RNA (1145 nucleotides) under Oryctolagus cuniculus (rabbit). RNAcentral's name for it is "lncRNA (ENSOCUG00000033722.1)". The record is from RNAcentral. Lineage: Eukaryota; Metazoa; Chordata; Mammalia; Lagomorpha; Leporidae.
AACUGAACUUGAGGUGGGCGGGGGGGGGGGAGGGAGGGGCCGCACACACACACCUCCAGCCAGCACGAGGCCCCGUGCGGCGCCAGGUCCUCGGCCAACGCCACGGCGCUCCUGGGGCCCUCCCCCCGCCCCGCUACCACUUCCCUCCCCAGCGUGCUCUGGAGUUCAGACAACGUCCACUCUGCCUUGGCCGAUCCCAGCAGUGCUGCUCUGCGUCCCGGCACCAGCUCCACCUGCCAUGUUCCAACCCAUGAAGACGGCGAAGACGAGGACUUCCUGUUGGUCAGGACCCCUCCCUCCGCCAGCACAGCACAAACCUGCUUCUGUUUAGGAUGCACCGUUCAACAGCUCCCAGAGCCGUGGGAAGCAGGAGUGCGCUGUCAGGGGCCUGGCUCGGCAGGAGGGCCUUUUCCUCUGGGCCUGUCCUCCGUGCACCGGCCUCCUCGCGUCCACGGACGGUCUCUUCCCACGUCUCAGGCAAUCUUGGAACUUCUCUAUCGGCCUUGUGACUCCGACCACACCAUUUUCCAUCAGCUCACCCAUCCACCUGUCUGUUCGUCCAUCUGUCCAUCCAUCCACCUACCCACCCACCUCCCUAUCCAUCCAUCCAUCUACCUACCCACAUACCUACCUACCUAUCCAUCCAACCAUCCACCCACCUAUCUACCCAUAUACCUACCUGUUCACCCAUCUGUCCAUCCAUCCACCCACCCACUCAGCCAGCCAGCCAUCCACCCACACACCCACCUAUCCAUCCACCCAUCCAUCCACCCACCCACUACCCACCACCCACCACUACAUUCACGGUCUCUCCCUGGACCACAAGCUCCCCGAGGGCAGGACCCUGUUGGACUUGUCAUCAUGGCAUCCUCAGCUCCUUGUCACAUCUUGGCAAAGGGAUCAGCAACCAACGCCACGUCUCACAGAGCCGAGAACUUGUGAGAAACCUCUCGAUUGCUUCCUCCCGUUCCCUGCCGUUCUCACCCCUUUCUCAGCGCUCAUGUUUCGGGCACAGGAAGACGCCCACGUUCCCAGGGCCCGGUCCACCUGCCUGUGGACCCCAGUCCGAGCUCCUGCAGCCUCGCCUUGUCUGGUCGGUCUGCGCCUCUUCCUUUUACAACCGGGGUUCCAUCCCAGCACACGGG